Molecule: ribosomal RNA, 216 nt
Filed under: uncultured bacterium
Lineage: Bacteria
Description: partial 16S ribosomal RNA
Rfam family: Bacterial small subunit ribosomal RNA
Source: RNAcentral
UACGGAGGGUGCGAGCGUUGUCCGGAAUCAUUGGGCGUAAAGGGCGCGUAGGUGGCCCGGUCAGUUCGUGGUGAAAGCGCGGGGCUCAACCCUGCGUCGGCCAUGAAUACUGCCGCGGCUGGAGCACUGUAGAGGCAGGCGGGAAUUCCCGGUGUAGGCGGUGAAAUGCGCAGAUAUCGGGAAGAACACCCGUGGCGAAGGCGGUUCGACUGGGAC